RNAcentral lists this ribosomal RNA (213 nucleotides) under Pheidole sagax. RNAcentral describes it as "partial large subunit ribosomal RNA". The record is from RNAcentral. Lineage: Eukaryota; Metazoa; Arthropoda; Insecta; Hymenoptera; Formicidae.
GAAUUUUAUAUAAAUUUAAUAAUAAAUUUAAUAUAAUAUUAUUGAAUUUAUAUUUUAUUGGGAGGAUAAUUAAAUUAAAUAAACUUUAGUAGAAUAAAUCCAUUUAUUUAUGAAUUAUAAGUUAUAGAGUAAUAAAAGUUUUAAGUAGAAUUAAUUACCUUAGGGAUAACAGCGUUAUAUUUUUAGAGAGAUCUUAUUGAUAAAAAUGAUUGC